Molecule: ribosomal RNA, 433 nt
Filed under: uncultured bacterium
Lineage: Bacteria
Description: partial 16S ribosomal RNA
Rfam family: Bacterial small subunit ribosomal RNA
Source: RNAcentral
AACGAACGCUGGCGGCAGGCCUAACACAUGCAAGCCGAGCGGACCCUUCGGGGUUAGCGGCGGACGGGUGAGUAACGCGUGGGAAUAUGCCCUUCUCUACGGAAUAGUCCUGGGAAACUGGGGGUAAUACCGUAUACGCCCUUUGGGGGAAAGAUUUAUCGGGGAAGGAUUAGCCCGCGUUGGAUUAGGUAGUUGGUGGGGUAAUGGCCUACCAAGCCGACGAUCCAUAGCUGGUUUGAGAGGAUGAUCAGCCACACUGGGACUGAGACACGGCCCAGACUCCUACGGGAGGCAGCAGUAGGGAAUCUUAGACAAUGGGGGCAACCCUGAUCUAGCCAUGCCGCGUGAGUGAUGAAGGCCUUAGGGUUGUAAAGCUCUUUCAGCUGGGAAGAUAAUGACGGUACCAGCAGAAGAAGCCCCGGCUAACUCCGUG